GACGAACGCUGGCGGCGUGCUUAACACAUGCAAGUCGAGCGGUAAGGCCCUUUCGGGGGUACACGAGCGGCGAACGGGUGAGUAACACGUGGGUGACCUGCCCUCAGCUCUGGGAUAAGCCUGGGAAACCGGGUCUAAUACUGGAUAUGACUCCAUGACGCAUGUUGUGGGGUGGAAAGCCUUGUGCGGCUGAGGAUGGGCCCGCGGCCUAUCAGCUAGUUGGUAGGGUAACGGCCACCAAGGCGAAGACGGGUAGCUGGUCUUAGAGGAUGAUCAGCCACACGGGGACUGAGACACGGCCCCGACUCCUACGGGAGGCAGCAGUGGGGAAUAUUGGGCAAUGGGGGAAACCCGUGACCCAGCGACGCCGCGUGGGUGAUGAAGGCC
Molecule: ribosomal RNA, 387 nt
Filed under: uncultured bacterium
Lineage: Bacteria
Description: bacterial SSU rRNA
Rfam family: Bacterial small subunit ribosomal RNA
Source: RNAcentral